Perognathus longimembris pacificus (Pacific pocket mouse) is the source of this 132-nucleotide long non-coding RNA. RefSeq lists it as uncharacterized. The record is from RefSeq and is a predicted model, not a curated record. The transcript is spliced from 4 exons. Lineage: Eukaryota; Metazoa; Chordata; Mammalia; Rodentia; Heteromyidae.
AUAGGUUCCUGGCUAGGUAAGGUCAACGUCCCUCAGUCAGGCUGAAGAAGCUACAGAAGAUGGAUGAUCUUCACCCAUCAGUCCCCCUUUAAAAGCAAGGGACCAGAGUUGGUCUUAAAAAGAUAAAACAGG